Non-coding RNA from Cinara cedri, 392 nucleotides. Lineage: Eukaryota; Metazoa; Arthropoda; Insecta; Hemiptera; Aphididae. The record is from the annotation of a GenBank genome assembly.
AAGUUUGAUCAACAAAUCAUAUAUAUUCAAAUUAUAUAAUAAUAUUUAAGGUAGGUUACAUUCUGUUUUCGUAUAUGAACUUUACGUGAACAUGAAUGGAAUUUGACAUGACUUUAAGCAUUAUUAAAACAUUAUAAAAUAAUUUACGUUACCUAUAAUGUUUACACGGAUAUAUACGCCGUUUAUGAACAUAAGAAACGAAAUUAAAUGAAUCAAGUAGACGUAAAUAUAGUAGUACGAUUGAUAUAAUAGUUCAAAAUACAAAAUUGUAAUUAUUAUUCUCCUCCUCUCCUCGGUCAGUAAUUCAGAUUUUAGUAUAAAUUUCGACGUUUGGGAAUUUAUUAUAAUAACAUAAUACGUUUAUCACCAUGGAAAUUUGUUUAAAAAUGUCG